Molecule: RNase P RNA, 353 nt
Filed under: Neiella litorisoli
Lineage: Bacteria; Pseudomonadati; Pseudomonadota; Gammaproteobacteria; Alteromonadales; Echinimonadaceae
Description: Bacterial RNase P class A
Rfam family: Bacterial RNase P class A
About the family: Ribonuclease P (RNase P) is a ubiquitous endoribonuclease, found in archaea, bacteria and eukarya as well as chloroplasts and mitochondria.
Source: Rfam by way of RNAcentral
GGAGUCGGCCAGGCAAUCGCUGCUCUGCUUUGCAGGGGGGAGGAAAGUCCGGGCUCCAUAGGGCAGGGUGCCAGGUAACGCCUGGGGAGCGUAAGCUCACGACUAGUGCAACAGAGAGCAAACCGCCGAUGGCUCGUAAGAGCACAGGUAAGGGUGAAAGGGUGCGGUAAGAGCGCACCGCGCGGCUGGCAACAGUUCGCGGCACGGUAAACUCCACCCGGAGCAAGGCCAAAUAGGCCCCUGCGGACGCGGCCCGCGUUUGGGGGCGGGUAGGCUGCUUGAGCCAGCGGGCGACCGCUGGCCUAGACGAAUGAUUGUCCACGACAGAACCCGGCUUAUGGCCGACUCCCACU